AGGCGCGUAGCUCAGUUGGUUAGAGCACUUGCUCGACACGCAAGGGGUCAGGAGUUCAAGUCUCCUCGUGCCUA
Non-coding RNA from Desulfovibrionaceae bacterium CG1_02_65_16, 74 nucleotides. The record is from Rfam. NCBI's taxonomy places the organism in Bacteria, Pseudomonadati, Thermodesulfobacteriota, Desulfovibrionia, Desulfovibrionales, Desulfovibrionaceae.